UAAUACAGAGGGCUCGAGCGUUAAUCGGAAUCACUGGGCUUAAAGGGUGCGUAGGCGGAUGUGUAAGUAUCUUGUGAAAUCCCACGGCUUAACCGUGGAACUGCUCGGUAUACUACAUGUCUUGAGGUCGGUAGGGGCUGCCGGAACUCUAGGUGGAGCGGUGAAAUGCGUAGAUAUCUAGAGGAACGCCGAUAGUGAAGACAGGCAGCUGGGCCGAUUCUGACGCUGAGGUACGAAAGCGUGGGUAGCGAACGGGAUUAGAUACCCCGGUAGUCCACGCCCUAAACGAUGUGCACUAGAUCGUGGAGGCUCUGACGCCCCCGCAAUCGAAGCUAAAGUGUUAAGUGCACCGCCUGGGGAGUACGGUCGCAAGGCUA
This 377-nucleotide ribosomal RNA is filed under the name uncultured Planctomycetota bacterium. Its description in RNAcentral is "bacterial SSU rRNA". It matches the Rfam family "Bacterial small subunit ribosomal RNA", at positions 521 to 896 of the family's 1533-position model. The record is from RNAcentral. Lineage: Bacteria; Pseudomonadati; Planctomycetota.